UGCCAGCCGCCGCGGUAAUACGGAGGGUCCAAGCGUUGUUCGGAAUCAUUGGGCGUAAAGCGCGUGUAGGCGGCUUGGAAAGUCGGAUGUGAAAGCCCGGGGCUCAACCCCGGAAUUGCAUUCGAAACUGCCAGGCUAGAGUCUCGGAGAGGAAGGCGGAAUUCCCGGUGUAGAGGUGAAAUUCGUAGAUAUCAGGAGGAACAUCUGUGGCGAAGGCGACUUCCUGGACCAAUACUGACGCUAAUGCGCGAAGGCGUGGGUAGCAAACAGGAUUAGAUA
This 279-nucleotide ribosomal RNA is filed under the name uncultured bacterium. RNAcentral describes it as "partial 16S ribosomal RNA". It matches the Rfam family "Bacterial small subunit ribosomal RNA", at positions 506 to 784 of the family's 1533-position model. The record is from RNAcentral.